GAUGAACGCUGGCGGCGUGCCUAAUACAUGCAAGUCGAGCGAACGGACGAGAAGCUUGCUUCUCUGAUGUUAGCGGCGGACGGGUGAGUAACACGUGGAUAACCUACCUCUAAGACUGGGGUAACUUCGUGAAACCGGAGCUAAUACCGGAUAAUAUUUUGAACCGCAUGGUUCAAAAGUGAAAGACGGUCUUGCUGUCACUUAUAGAUGGAUCCGCGCUGGAUUAGCUAGUUGGUAAGGUAACGGCUUACCAAGGCAACGAUGCAUAGCCGACCUGAGAGGGUGAUCGGCCACACUGGAACUGAGACACGGUCCAGACUCCUACGGGAGGCAGCAGUAGGGAAUCUUCCGCAAUGGGCGAAAGCCUGACGGAGCAACGCCGCGUGAGUGAUGAAGGUCUUCGGAUCGUAAAACUCUGUUAUUAGGGAAGAACAUAUGUGUAAGUAACUGUGCACAUCUUGACGGUACCUAAUCAGAAAGCCACGGCUAACUACGUG
This 497-nucleotide ribosomal RNA is filed under the name uncultured bacterium. RNAcentral describes it as "partial 16S ribosomal RNA". It matches the Rfam family "Bacterial small subunit ribosomal RNA", at positions 28 to 507 of the family's 1533-position model. The record is from RNAcentral.